This 447-nucleotide long non-coding RNA is filed under the name Numida meleagris (helmeted guineafowl). Its description in RNAcentral is "lncRNA (ENSNMEG00000014342.1)". The record is from RNAcentral. Lineage: Eukaryota; Metazoa; Chordata; Aves; Galliformes; Numididae.
UCAGCUCCUGUCCUUUGUCUCAUAGUAUUCUAUAAUGAAGAUCUCUUAAUUCUUUUUACUUUGCUUCCACCCACUGUAGGAUUCACUUAGCUCCAAAUACUUCAAGGGGGACUAUGGUGAAUCAAAGCAGUGUGUCAGACCGACACUGUUCAGCAAUGGCUAAGCUGACAGCUGAAAUGAAGUUGAUUUUCGGGAAUUCAUGACUUUGUUUAUUUGAGUACGUCGUCACACUGUGAUUUUCCCAAUGCCAUCUCUUCCUUACCUCUUAAGAACCUGACAGGAACUUGCACGGACCCAGUAACACAGGCACAGAACUGGCAAUGCCCUGAAAUUGCAUCUUCUCUCCAGUCCCCAGAACGCAGUGAGGCUGGCCUUUCUGUCCUUCGUUUUCAAGAACAUUGGACACGAUGGAGAAACAAGGUGGCAAAAUACCAAAGUUUGCGUUGA